Small nuclear RNA from Neogale vison (American mink), 144 nucleotides. RefSeq annotates it as U4 spliceosomal RNA. Lineage: Eukaryota; Metazoa; Chordata; Mammalia; Carnivora; Mustelidae. The transcript has a single exon. The record is from RefSeq and is a predicted model, not a curated record.
UUAUUUAUGCAGUGGCAGUAUCGUAGCCAAUGAGGUUUAUCCGAGGUGCGAUUAUUGCUAAUUGAAAUCCUUUCUAAUAGGACUUGAGUUGACCUACAACAAAAGAUAUAAAUAGAUCAAAAUUGUUAAAAUAAAUCAAAACAU